UGCGGUUCUCAGGUGAUGCACCCGGAACCAGAGAGGAGGGAGCCUGAUUCCAGGUGUGUCACCUGAGAACUGCC
This is a non-coding RNA of Myotis davidii, 74 nucleotides long. Lineage: Eukaryota; Metazoa; Chordata; Mammalia; Chiroptera; Vespertilionidae. The record is from Rfam.